UCUCUGUGCAACAUUACCACUAAUUCAAUCAUAUCAUUAAGCUUCUACAUUAACUUCUUCCGGCCACCUCUCCCACUACGUAAAAUUCAAUAACCUUUCUGCACCAGCGAUUUGAUAAUCCCUAAUUCCUAAUACUAUAAAUAAGACAUUAAGCCAUCUUCAAAUCGAAUUGCUUGAUCCUCUUAGUUAGACUGCUUCCUUGCAAGCAUAGAUCGCAACAAUGGUGUCCUCAUGUUUUCCGAUUUGAAAGUCGUAUGUGCGCGUCAGACGGUGGUUACACGGCUUCUCUGUUUUAGGGAGGCACGACGUCAAAAAAGAGGUUGAGGGAGUCGACAUGCUCUUGCUUGAUGAAAAGUUAUAGCUCCUUCAAGGAUCUAUUUCUGUCCAUCAACUUAACACUUUCAGACAUCUCUAAGCAUCACUGACUUCAAUCUCUUAGAUUUGAUGUCACUGGCAAAGGCAAAUACUCAGUUUCCCGACAUCAUAGAGGUUGUUAGCCUUAUCAAGACAACAUUCAAUGACGAUGUCCACACAACUCCUGUAUAGCCAUUUAUUCUCCUUCGAGGAAGGUUCUGAGGACAUUCAAUGAUGACAUAUCCUCUUGGUACAGAGCAAGUAACUCCAAUACGAAGAACAACUGUAACGACAUAAGUCUAAACACUUCAAAUCAUUCAAAACCAGAAACAGGAGACACCGUCGCACAGAGGAGGAAACAUCGACGGAUCAGAUAGAGAGCAGUGGGAACAAUCAGCAGGCUACAGACGGUAAAACUCGGAAGAAACCAAGACUCUGUUGUGUCCAAGAUGAAAGAGCAUGGACACUAAGUUCUGUUAUUACAACAAUUACAACAUAAACCAGGCUCACCAUUUCUGAAAAUCCUAUCAUAGAUACUAGACUGUCUGAGGGACUAUGAUGAUUGUGCCCGAGGGUGCAGGAGACUGCAAGAUCAAAUGCUCAUCCUCUCAUUACCGCCACAUCAUAAUCUCCGAGGCUCUAGAGGCUGCAAGGCUUGAUCAGAGAUUACACUCGAGUCCUGAGUUUUGGUUUUAGAAGCUCAUCAACAGCAUGCUAAUCCCAUGACACCCGUGAUGAAGCUAGAAGGAGACCAUAAAGUACUCUCUGGAAUCAAAAAGAAAAAUAGAAUUUUUAUGAGUUCAUGAACUAUUUUCGUCAAAAUUAAAUAAGUAUGAUAAAAAAAGCAAUUUGAUUAUAAUUAUUCUCUC
Long non-coding RNA from Brassica oleracea var. oleracea, 1223 nucleotides. RefSeq lists it as uncharacterized. Lineage: Eukaryota; Viridiplantae; Streptophyta; Magnoliopsida; Brassicales; Brassicaceae. The transcript is spliced from 4 exons. The record is from RefSeq and is a predicted model, not a curated record.